RNAcentral lists this long non-coding RNA (904 nucleotides) under Mus musculus (house mouse). RNAcentral describes it as "predicted gene, 56585". Lineage: Eukaryota; Metazoa; Chordata; Mammalia; Rodentia; Muridae. The record is from RNAcentral.
ACUGCCCCCUUGCUGCUGAUGCUCUGUGACCAGCUGGCUUCCUGAUCCUGCCAAGCCUUCCAUGCCACCUUGAGAUACAGAUCUUCAGAGUGUAAGCCAGAAUAAGCCUUCUCUUCUGUGAACUGCUUUUGUCAGGGUUAUUUUAUCCCAGCAACAGAAAAGGUAACUCCAGGCUGUGCGAGGGGAAAUGAAAGUAACUAAGCCUAGCCUUAGUCUGUCAAGGCAGGGCCAGCCCCUUCUCUACAGGGAAGGAGCAGGAAGCUAGCGUUGGGUAACUGUGUCUAUAGAUAAGAACAUGACCUUUGUCUCACAAUUACAAAGGAGACUGUAAGUGUGUAUGUCAGGGACGGCAGGGAUGCAUCAGGACACAAGGGUAGAAAUAACUAGUCAAAGCGCUGAGGAGCCUGGGGGUUGACAGAACUCCAGGCAACCAUUGCUGGGAGGGGUUGUACAGUCAUGAGAACUCUUUACUGUGCAUUGGUGGCAUCAAAUGUGUCAGCACUGCAAGAUGGAACCCUCCUCUAGGUGUUAUAUGAAAGAGUAUGCUUUGUUUGAAAGUCUCAUUUUAGUUAGGUAUGGCACAUACCUGCUAAUCCCAGAACCUGGAGGGCAGAAACAGGAAUUGUUUCCAUCAGAUUGAUUGGGUGUAUGCAGUAACAGGGGUGGCGGUGGGGGUGCGGUGACAUUUUUCUUGGUUGGAAAUUGAUGAGAGAGGGCAGUGGUGCGACCCCUGGGCUAAGUGUGGCAUCCUGGCACAAACCUUUAAUCCCAGCAUUCCGGAGGCAGAGGCAGGAAAAUCUCUGAAUUUGAUGCCUCCCUGAUCUACAGAAUGAGUUCCAGGAUAGCCAGGGCCACACAGAGAAAGCUUGCCUUGAAAACCAAAAUAAAUAGAUAAUUAAAACCA